GACGAACGCUGGCGGCGUGCUUAACACAUGCAAGUCGAGCGAGGCCCCUCCUUCGGGAGGGUGUCCUAGCGGCGAACGGGUGAGUAACACGUGGGCAACCUGCCCUCAGCUCUGGGAUAACUCCGGGAAACCGGGGCUAAUACCGGAUACGACCUCCACGGGCAUCUGCGGAGGUGGAAAGUUUUUCGGCUGAGGAUGGGCCCGCGGCCUAUCAGCUAGUUGGUGGGGUAGUGGCCCACCAAGGCGGCGACGGGUAGCCGGCCUGAGAGGGCGACCGGCCACACUGGGACUGAGACACGGCCCAGACUCCUACGGGAGGCAGCAGUGGGGAAUAUUGCGCAAUGGGCGAAAGCCUGACGCAGCGACGCCGCGUGAGGGACGAAGGCCUUCGGGUUGUAAACCUCUUUCAGCAGGGACGAAGCGAAAGUGACGGUACCUGCAGAAGAAGCACCGGCCAACUACGUG
RNAcentral lists this ribosomal RNA (465 nucleotides) under uncultured bacterium. Its description in RNAcentral is "partial 16S ribosomal RNA". It matches the Rfam family "Bacterial small subunit ribosomal RNA", at positions 28 to 507 of the family's 1533-position model. The record is from RNAcentral.